CCGCGUGAGUGAAGAAGGCCUUCGGGUUGUAAAGCUCUUUUGUCAGGGAAGAAACGGUGAAAGCUAAUAUCUUUUGCUAAUGACGGUACCUGAAGAAUAAGCACCGGCUAACUACGUGCCAGCAGCCGCGGUAAUACGUAGGGUGCAAGCGUUAAUCGGAAUUACUGGGCGUAAAGCGUGCGCAGGCGGUUUGUAAGUCUGAUGUGAAAUCCCCGGGCUCAACCUGGGAAUUGCAUUGGAGACUGCAAGGCUAGAAUCUGGCAGAGGGGGGUAGAAUUCCACGUGUAGCAGUGAAAUGCGUAGAUAUGUGGAGGAACACCGAUGGCGAAGGCAGCCCCCUGGGUCAAGAUUGACGCUCAUGCACGAAAGCGUGGGGAGCAAACAGGAUUAGAUACCCUGGUAGUCCACGCCCUAAACGAUGUCUACUAGUUGUCGGGUCUUAAUUGACUUGGUAACGCAGCUAACGCGUGAAGUAGACCGCCUGGGGAGUACGGUCGCAAGAUUA
RNAcentral lists this ribosomal RNA (505 nucleotides) under uncultured Pseudomonadota bacterium. RNAcentral describes it as "bacterial SSU rRNA". It matches the Rfam family "Bacterial small subunit ribosomal RNA", at positions 397 to 896 of the family's 1533-position model. Lineage: Bacteria; Pseudomonadati; Pseudomonadota. The record is from RNAcentral.